Long non-coding RNA from Cephus cinctus (wheat stem sawfly), 2411 nucleotides. RefSeq lists it as uncharacterized. The record is from RefSeq and is a predicted model, not a curated record. Lineage: Eukaryota; Metazoa; Arthropoda; Insecta; Hymenoptera; Cephidae. The transcript is spliced from 9 exons.
UAAGUAUUUUUGUUUUCAGAAACAAUAUUGCUACCAGUCAAAGUAAUCAGAGGGAUCGUCACGUUGAUAAGGGUCAAUAUUAAGAUUCAUCAGGUAUGCUGAAACUGAUCUUGCGACUGAAAUGGGAAAAUUGGCUGACGGAUGGAAAAGGGUGAUAUCGAUUUACCACGAUUUACGUGGAAUUUUUAAAUCCAGCCGGCUCCUGGACCACGGCCAGAACUUUUACCUAAUGUCGCGCAAGAGCUUCACGGAAAUCUUAAAAGCUGUUGGACCUGGGAGGAGUUUGCAUGUAAACUACAGGCGGUUCAGUUUAAACAACGUGAAGACUCUGGGAGAUUUUAGAAGAAAUAUUGUGUGAGAAGAGAAAACUGAUGGAGGAAAUUUAAAAUGACUAGGAUAACCAGCCACAAUUUUGCUGUAAUACGACACUUUGCCAAAGUGGUGUCAGAUAGCUUGAAUCUGAAUUUGAAAAUCAGGUCUGUCAUUAAGGACGCGAAGCGGCUCGAUGACUGGGAGAAUGCUAAUUAAUCUUGGCCGGUCUCUAUAUAAUAAACACGACGCACCUACGCAACGGAUACCAAAAUAAAACGUCGAUGGGUCGUCGUCGCGACGCUCAGAUACGUCUUGGACGCUGAGAGCAAUCCCGUCGAUCGGCUUGGCGCUUGGACUCGGAUACAAAAUGAAAAGGAGGGAAAUGAAAGAAAAAUAAUUUUUUUAAAAUCGUUGCUGCCAGUUUGGAGUGAAAGUGCAGGGGGAGAGAGGAUCGAGCUUUUGGCUUGCACGGACGCUUAAUGCGAUCGAAGAAAAUUACAUAAAGCUUGGGUUACGAGCUCGAAGCUUGGCAAAGGUUUCAUCGUUAUGUCACAUUGCUCGUUCUGCGCAGGACUACGUGGGAACAUGAUGAAAAGACUGUAAUUUUUCGCGAUGACGUAUCCCGCGGCUAAACUUGAAAUUCCUAAUGACGCUUGAUCAAUCAACAAGCUCUGGCUUCAGUACAAAUAAGAGUAUGGGACAUAAGAGAAGCUUUGCAAAGUUAAACAGACAUUUUGUGUCGGUCAAAACAAUUGUCUGCUGAUAACAACGAUAAUUCAAGUUGUCCUUUUUUUAUUUUAGCAAAGUUUGACAGUAUUUUAUUCUUCUCACUUUGAUUAUUAACAACGCGGAUGUCCGAUAAACAAAUAAUUUUAACAAACGUACCACCAGCGGCGAAUUUUUGUUUGGACGGAAAUUCUGACGUCAUCGCUGUAAAGACUAUAUUACAUCACUUUUGUAUUUUUGUGCUCGCUUGCCAAUACGAUCUUUCCUGCUCGUGCUGCUCACUGCUCAGUGUAUCGAAUUCAAAUUUGUGAAAAUUCUUUUAGACACAAGCAACUCUUUAAAAAAAAGGCUCUGAUAGCCAACUACAUAGAAACACGGUCUAAGUUUCAUAAUUUUGUAAUAAACUGUAUAUUGCGUUUACAACAUUUCCCCAUUAUAAAUGGGUCAGGAACAUUAUAUUACAGGAUAUUACCGAAACAGCUGACCAACCUUGAUCGCCUAGGAGGAACGAUGGAAGCAACCUGGAACCUCCUGUCAAGAGGAUUCUCUUAUCAGAGUGGGAAUAGAAGUUGGUCAAAGGACAAAAAGCAAACUGACACCGAUUCGUACGAGUAUUAAUGCCAACAGGAGCAGAGAUGCUGCUUCCUCCUCCUUGGGUCGAUUUUCAACGGUGUAUCGAUAGGUGGUAUAUGAAGCCGGCAUUUUUGAUCCUCAAUCGACACGAGACGAUUUGAAAACGCUCUCUAACGCACUGGCUCGAUGCGCGGGCGGCACUAACUCUGCUCUUCUCCAAGAGGCCUGCUUCUCCCGAACUAACCGCACGAUAUCACGCUACUCCUACGUUAGAGGAGAAGAACGUCUUUAGGGAAGUCAGCCCUCUGCAGUGUAACGCUAAUGUCGAAGGAAAACGCGGAACGUUCAUUCAUAGAGUUCAAGAGGCUUUUUCGUCAUCGUCAAGAUAUACAAGACAAGUUUAUUUGCUGAAAUCAGGAUGCCGAUACUAUUGCAAAUUAGGAUACUUAUAUUUAUGCUGAUUGACUUUACGAAAUAGUAUCUACUUGGUAAAUGCGUAAACUCUUUCUUCGCGUACUUCGUCAAGAUGAUCAUGAGGCGGGUUGAAGUAAUCCGGUGAAUACGCCCUGUAUUCUUCCACAGGUGGUACAGGACUCUUGGGUAAUACUUUUGGCUUGGUCACCUUUGGCCUGAGUCCCAUGACAAGAAAAAUACAGCAACUAUCAACCGCCGCCUUGUUCUCAUCUACGUUUGACUCGACAACCGGAAGUUGUGGGGUGUGAUUUCGCAAUGAAGUUCGUGACGGAGUACGUGACGGAGUACGUGAUGGACUCUCUCCGAUCGGCUCAGACCUUUCCACG